This 818-nucleotide long non-coding RNA is filed under the name Piliocolobus tephrosceles (Ugandan red Colobus). RNAcentral describes it as "lncRNA (ENSPTEG00000002494.1)". Lineage: Eukaryota; Metazoa; Chordata; Mammalia; Primates; Cercopithecidae. The record is from RNAcentral.
UUUAUCCUACUUAUUUAUUUAUUUAUUUAAUUAUUUAAUUAUUUAUUUAUUUAAUUAUUUAAUCAUUUAAUCAUUUAAUCAUUUAAUUAAUUAUUUUUUUUUUUUUUUAGUCUUUUUUAAAUAAUACGAUAGUAAAUCAGUAUAAAAUAAUAUUUUUACAACCAAACUUGGGUAUUUUUUGGUAUAUCAAUUCACUGGUAAUAUAUAUGAGUAUAUAUGAACAUAUAUGCAUGUAUGUGUACAUAUUUAACAUUGUAAAGCAAAACUGGGUACAAUCAUAAUCAUUGUGCACAUACAACGCCUUCUCAACAUAAGUAUACAUACAUAUAUAUACAUACAUACAUAUAUAUAUAUAUAUAUAUAUGCAUGUACGUAUGUAUGCAUAUGCUGACCGUGUAAUAUUUUAUUCACACAUUUUAUAGAUAUUCAAAGAAUAUUACUACGCAUUUUUGUUCUUUUUUCACUUUCACGUAUUUUUUUACCCCAUCCCACUUUUGUUUCGUCUUAUGAAAACCCCACUUAUCUAUUUGCAAAUUAUGGUUGCGAUUACGUUGAUAUUUGAACCUAAUAUAACCAUAAACGACGUUGUGUACUGUUUGCUACUGAUGUCGAUUGAUUAUGAAAAAACGCUGUGCAACGUUCCUUUUGCGAAACUAUUCAUGAUAAUGCUCACUGGUUUAGGCUUGUUUUGUGUUACAACAAAUUUGUGGCUACACAAAAAUACAGCAAAUGCAAAUUAUGUAUAUGCUUACCAGUUGUUAACUUUUAACAUUAUUAGUAACUAUUUAAAAAAAAAAAAAAAAAAGAAAAACAGUUUA